This 1103-nucleotide long non-coding RNA is filed under the name Mus spicilegus (steppe mouse). RNAcentral describes it as "lncRNA (ENSMSIG00000013936.1)". Lineage: Eukaryota; Metazoa; Chordata; Mammalia; Rodentia; Muridae. The record is from RNAcentral.
AAGAAUUAUAAACACUCAUUGACCUCUCGGAUUGGCUUUGUUUAGCCAUCAGCACUCCUUUGAGACCAUCCAAGUUUUGACCCAACAGUUGGUUCCUUCUCCAUCGCUGAGUACUUUCUACGGUGUAUAAGGACCACAGCUCAUCUCUUCAUCUGCUGGAUGACAACUGGCUGAGUCCUAGCUGGCAGCAAUGUUGGCAAGGUUGCUUCUGGGCCCAUGGCUAUCAUCUGCGGGUUACUGCAGAGCAGUCCUGAGAACCUGGGUCAGGAUCCUCUCUUCCUCCAGAGAGAUGCUGUGCAGUCGCCAUCUCAGAGAAAACCUCCUCCCGCUCCCCACAGGGCUGAACAUAGACACACACGGGAAGGACAUACCCAAGGGACAGCCUGUGCAGAUGUGCCCAUGCCAGUGUGAGGCUCACCAUCUCGCUGUCAUUCCUCUGUGUCCACAUGCUGACCAAGAUGAAAUCCACUCAGAACCUGCACUUGGAGAUACUGAUAGGAUCAAUGGGGUUUCCCAGACACAGUUGUCUUUCUUCCCACCCAGCUGAGCUCAUCUCCUGUCCAACAGCUCUUCUGUCUCUGGUGUCACCUUUGAGACAUCAGGUUCAACUUCGCAUGUCUUAUGGAGGUAAAUCUCAAGGGGUUGUCUAGGGGCUUCUGUAUGCUCUCACCAGGGAGACAUCAGGGGAAGAGGCUGGGAGGCUCAAGCCAGUUGAUUGAUCUCCAUCCUGUCUGACUCUGUGGUCCCUCACGUCAUCUGUGGAUGUGAAGGAAGGAUACAACACCGCUGUAUGGAGACCAGGACUGUGGGGACAGAGGAGAAGGUAUAGCUGCCCACCGUCCUCCAGAGCCCAUCUUACUUACCUUUUGACCUGCCUCCAGAGCUGCCCACAGCAGAUCCCAAGCAGGCAGAGUGGAAAUCAGGAGUAUUUUGCUGCCUGACCUGACCCUGACCUAGGAUCAGGGUUGGAUAAGGACCCAAUGGGACGAUGUUCAGGGAUGGGCAGAAAGAGGGUGUUUUGAACACUGUAAUAGAUCAAUGGCUCUCGACCUUCCUACUGCUGUAACCCAUUAAUAAAUACAGUUCCUAAUGUUGUGGUGAAC